GACGAACGCUGGCGGCGUGCUUAACACAUGCAAGUCGAGCGGUAAGGCCCUUUCGGGGGUACACGAGCGGCGAACGGGUGAGUAACACGUGGGUGACCUGCCCUCAGCUCUGGGAUAAGCCUGGGAAACCGGGUCUAAUACCGGAUAUGACUCCAUGACGCAUGUUGUGGGGUGGAAAGCCUUGUGCGGCUGAGGAUGGGCCCGCGGCCUAUCAGCUUGUUGGUGGGGUGAUGGCCUACCAAGGCGACGACGGGUAGCCGGCCUGAGAGGGCGACCGGCCACACUGGGACUGAGACGACGGCCCAGACUCCUACGGGAGGCAGCAGUGGGGAAUCUUGCGCAAUGGGCGAAAGCCUGACGCAGCGACGCCGCGUGAGGGAUGACGGCCU
This 389-nucleotide ribosomal RNA is filed under the name uncultured bacterium. Its description in RNAcentral is "bacterial SSU rRNA". It matches the Rfam family "Bacterial small subunit ribosomal RNA", at positions 28 to 417 of the family's 1533-position model. The record is from RNAcentral.